AAAAUAAAUAUUAAAAAAAAAAAACAACAAAGCCAGCCUCAGCAACUUAGCAAGGCCUUAAGCAACUCAGUCAGACCCUGUCUCUAAAUAAAAUGCAAUUGAAUCAUUUCCAGUUAACAGCUGGAGAAGGUUUUAGUAUUCUUUGGUGCAAUGAAGGUGGAAUAAGGAUAUGCAAGACAAACUGUGGCGGAAGACAAUUCAAGGGAUUCAGUUUAUUUUAAUCCAAGAAUAGAUCUAAUUAUACCAGUAUUUGUUAUUAGAUUGACCAUUGUGGUCUCCUUGGAUCUAUAUGCCAGAAUGAGAUGUGUUGCAAAGGUAUCUGAAUUAUUCUAGGGAAAAUGGGAGGGAUCAAUGCUAUGUUCUUGUACAUCCAUUUAUGUGUUACGUGUUACUUGUUCAGUUACAAUAAUUUAUAAUACUUAACUGUAAGUUCACUUAUCAAAUGAAGGUUGGUUUUUUUUUUCCCAGAAUUGAAAAGAAUACUGCAAAAAAAAAAAAAAUGAAGAUCACAUUUUUUAUAGUGCAUACCUGGCCAAUGUAACAUGCUACCUGUGUCCCAUCCCCAUGCUCUGGGACACCUGCUGUUUCCAAAACCCCAGGGCUUCUGGGAGUGUCUUCUGGAUGCCAAAGACUGCUGGGCUGCAUGUGAGCAGCACAGACAGACUUUAACCAGUGAAGGGGAGGAUUCGGGGUAUAAACACCCAACUUCCACAGCACUUGGGAAUUUCUCAGGGUGGCUGCAGUUGGCUGGACUCCCAGUUGCUUACAGCAGUAAUCACAAACGUGGUUUAUCACCAUCCUCUCUUCCCUCUCUCACUUCCCUCCCUUCUCAGGGGCUUCAUGGGAUUGUAUCCCUCAUCAGUAAGAAAUGCUCAUCUGGAAACUCCUGCUGGUGACGGGGAGCUAGACUUUCAGCAAACAGUAACAAGUUGUCAGACUAACAGCCUUCUCCAGCAUUUGCCCUUCAGCCACAUUAUGAAAUUGAAAACAAGGGCAGUCUAAUUGUCACUCAAGCUAAAUGACGUUGGAUCACAUGGUUCACAUCCACAGGUUCUUAUUGUUACUUUUUACCAUUGGUAUAACUUUAAACAUGAUAUUUUGCCUAUAGUUUGUCCUUUUUCCAUUUCUGAUACAUAUUUUUAUUACAUGCAAAACAUGUUACACAGUAACUUAUAAAUAUUUAUAAGUUGGGGUCAUAGACUUGUUUUCUCCCCAGGUCGAUGAGUGCGAUCAGUGAAAUCUAUUGCUCUACUAUAGAGUAGUAUUUUUUUACUCAUAAAAGAUAAAAAUUUAGUCACCUUCCUAUCACUCUCUAUAGUCUGGCAUGGUGCGUGUGUAUGAGAGAAAGACCAGUAUAUAUGAAAAACUUAGCACGUUCUUAGCAGAAUUCUAGCCUUCAAUAUAAUAGGAUUUUCCAUUUAUUUCAUAUAUAAAUGAAGUGAUAAUUUAAUGGACCAUUGUUCACAGAUUUAUAACUUAUUCUUCAGGAACAUGAUUAAAAGAUAAUGAACUUUUGUAUUAAAUCAUCAGUUGUAUAUUAAUGUGUCAUAUGAAAGACCUAGUUAUCUUACAAAGAUUUGCUUUUUUACCUGAUGGAAGGAAUUAAGAAUACUGGUUAAUAAAAAAUUCUUUUAAACUAGAAGUUAUACUAAUGGACUUUGUGAAGACUGUAGAAAUGCUAUUUGUAAAAAGAAUCAGGCUUAAGAGAAAGAGAAAUGACAUAUUGUAAAUUAUGUGGAGAGCAAAUACUGGGAUCCUGGAUACAACCCAAAGAAUAAUGGAAACAAGUGGGCAAGAGGUUGUAAGUCUUGAAUAUUUAUUGCACUUAUUUAUCCUAUUUACCUGUCCCCACUUCUCCUGCCAAAUUGAGGGAAUCCUAAAAUAGGAUAUUUUUAAUACUUUAAAUAAAAGUACUAUGAGAAGUUUUUAUAAACAAACCUUUCUUAGGGUUGGUGUAAGAGGCUGGUAAAGACAGUGUAUGGGAAAGAUGGUUCAGACAUUCAUAACUGCUGUAGAAAAUUAAGAAGGUGUUUACCACUUCACUUCAAAUGUAAAAAGCUCUCAGCUUUCAAAUACAAAGUACUGUAUUAUAAAUAAUGAAAACUUUUGAUGCAGACUGCUGUAUGGAUUAUCUAAGAUGAGGGUAAGAGACAUUUUCAGAUGAGCACAAACAAAAUAUAUCACCAAAAUUGCCUCACUAAGGAAUUUGUGAAAGAAUACUUCACAGGAGAAUUAUCCCAGAAACUGUCUGAGAUGUUCGAAAUAUUGAGACAUCUAGACAUAAGAAUACAGGAAACUUGACAUUAAAGGAAUGGAAAUGAUUCUCCAUGCAACAUUAAUCAAGGCUGUUUAUCUGCAGUAAGGUCAAACAAAAGACACUGAGGCAAGAAACGUUACAAGAGGUGAAAUUAAAAUAUAAGAUGGACCAAACUUUCCAUUCUCCAUUCUCCAAGCUGUAAAGUUCACAGGAUGUAAAAGGGGAACAGAUCAAUUCAGAAUGAUGGUGGUGGAUCCUGACUCCUCUGAGCAACUAGUAAGCCUCACCGCACAGAAGAUGAGCAGCAUGGACCAGCACACCCACCAGUCAUGUUCAGGGCACAUUAUUUAAAGCUUGCCACCAUCCAGGAAGGGUUACCGUGGCCACUUGGAGCACAUCACUUGAGACUGGUCUCCAUGUACCCACACAGACAUUGUUUUGGAGAUAGUAUUUUGGCUUUUUGUUCUGCUGUUUGUUUUUCCUUAUUGUAGGUACUGUUUUUUACUUGCCAUGUUUACUUAACAGUGUAUUUGUGGAUAUCUUCCCACAGCAAUUGAUAAAUUGUCCUAACCUCUUUGAAACUCAAUGUGCCACUGUUUGCUUAUCACCCCUCGAGCGGACAUUUAGGUUGUUUAUGUUUUUCUAAGACCUUACACAUAGCUUAGUAGUAACUCCAAUAACUCUUUAGGUAACGGAAAAGCUGUUUCAUGGGAAAAGGAUGUUUCCUUUUUUUCAGUUUUCAGUAUAGUAAUAUGUACUACUAAAGGCUAUAGAAAAACAAUAAUAAAGGCAGGGCUUUGGACCAUCA
Ictidomys tridecemlineatus (thirteen-lined ground squirrel) is the source of this 3065-nucleotide non-coding RNA. The record is from RefSeq and is a predicted model, not a curated record. NCBI's taxonomy places the organism in Eukaryota, Metazoa, Chordata, Mammalia, Rodentia, Sciuridae.